AGUGAACGCUGGCGGUAGGCCUAACACAUGCAAGUCGAACGGCAGCACAGUAAGAGCUUGCUCUUACGGGUGGCGCGUGGCGGACGGGUGAGGAAUACAUCGGAAUCUACUUUUUCGUGGGGGAUAACGUAGGGAAACUUACGCUAAUACCGCAUACGACCUACGGGUGAAAGCAGGGGAUCUUCGGACCUUGCGCGAUUGAAUGAGCCGAUGUCGGAUUAGCUAGUUGGCGGGGUAAAGGCCCACCAAGGCGACGAUCCGUAGCUGGUCUGAGAGGAUGAUCAGCCACACUGGAACUGAGACACGGUCCAGACUCCUACGGGAGGCAGCAGUGGGGAAUAUUGGACAAUGGGCGCAAGCCUGAUCCAGCCAUACCGCGUGGGUGAAGAAGGCCUUCGGGUUGUAAAGCCCUUUUGUUGGGAAAGAAAAGCAGCAGGUUAAUACCCCGCUGUUCUGACGGUACCCAAAGAAUAAGCACCGGCUAACUUCGU
This 491-nucleotide ribosomal RNA is filed under the name uncultured bacterium. RNAcentral's name for it is "partial 16S ribosomal RNA". It matches the Rfam family "Bacterial small subunit ribosomal RNA", at positions 29 to 506 of the family's 1533-position model. The record is from RNAcentral.